UAAGAUCUACCCUCUGGAACGAGAAGAAAG
RNAcentral lists this non-coding RNA (30 nucleotides) under Mus musculus (house mouse). Lineage: Eukaryota; Metazoa; Chordata; Mammalia; Rodentia; Muridae. The record is from RNAcentral.